GAAUGCUGACAUAAGUAACGAUAAAGCGGGUGAAAAGCCCGCUCGCCGGAAGACCAAGGGUUCCUGUCCAACGUUAAUCGGGGCAGGGUGAGUCGACCCCUAAGGCGAGGCCGAAAGGCGUAGUCGAUGGGAAACGGGUUAAUAUUCCCGUACUUGGUGUUACUGCGAAGGGGGGACGGAGAAGGCUAUGUUGGCCGGGCGACGGUUGUCCCGGUUUAAGCGUGUAGGUGUGUGUUCCAGGUAAAUCCGGUUCACUUUAACACUGAGGCGUGACGACGAGGCACUACGGUGCUGAAGCAACAAAUGCCCUGCUUCCAGGAAAAGCCUCUAAGCAUCAGGUAACAUCAAAUCGUACCCCAAACCGACACAGGUGGUCAGGUAGAGAAUACCAAGGCGCUUGAGAGAACUCGGGUGAAGGAACUAGGCAAAAUGGUGCCGUAACUUCGGGAGAAGGCACGCUGACACGUAGGUGAAGUGAUUUACUCAUGGAGCUGAAGU
Molecule: ribosomal RNA, 498 nt
Filed under: Salmonella enterica
Lineage: Bacteria; Pseudomonadati; Pseudomonadota; Gammaproteobacteria; Enterobacterales; Enterobacteriaceae
Description: partial 23S ribosomal RNA
Rfam family: Bacterial large subunit ribosomal RNA
Source: RNAcentral